Molecule: unclassified non-coding RNA, 252 nt
Filed under: uncultured Bacteroidota bacterium
Lineage: Bacteria; Pseudomonadati; Bacteroidota
Description: uncultured Bacteroidetes bacterium contains 16S-23S intergenic spacer region
Rfam family: Bacterial small subunit ribosomal RNA
Source: RNAcentral
UACGGAGGUCCAAGCGUUGUCCGGAAUCACUGGGUGUAAAGGGUGUGUAGGCGGGCCUGUAAGUCAGGGGUGAAAGCCACCGGCUCAACCGGUGAAUUGCCUUUGAUACUGCAGGCCUUGAGUCCUGGAGAGGUCGCUGGAAUUCGUGGUGUAGCGGUGAAAUGCGUAGAUAUCACGAGGAACAUCCGAGGAGAAAUCGGGCGACUGGACAGGUACUGACGCUGAGGCACGAAAGCGUGGGGAGCAAACAGG